Long non-coding RNA from Microplitis mediator, 861 nucleotides. RefSeq lists it as uncharacterized. Lineage: Eukaryota; Metazoa; Arthropoda; Insecta; Hymenoptera; Braconidae. The record is from RefSeq and is a predicted model, not a curated record. The transcript is spliced from 2 exons.
ACAUCAUUAUGACUAGAGCUAUUAUUAUAUCUAUUACUCUACUAAUCAUUACUAACGAUUAUUAAAAAAAUUAUUUCUGUGUCUAGUGAUGGCUAUUAAGAGUACAAGGUCCGAUAGUUAUUAUAUGAUUAAUACUAACCGGAGGGCGUCUUGUCGCCUGCAGACAUUUUUUGAAAGGCUAGCAAUGCGUCUGGAAAAUUCGGCGGUGUCGCUGGGGUAUUGCAAGGUGUUAUCUGUAAUAUUUAACAUAAAUAAAUUAUUAAUAAUAAUAAUAAUAAUAAUAAAGCAAAUUUGUUGGUGAGCUAGUUUAAACCGGUAAAGUCUGUUUGGUCGAAGCGACGUUGGAUUUGGCACGAGGCUUAUCGGAAUGUUAUAGCCGAGAAUAGUAACCUACACUACCUAGUGACGGAUUUUGCUCAUCAUCAUCCAGUGACUCUCAAAUUUAAUUAUAGAUAUAUAUAUACACACUACAAUCAUCAUCAUUAUCAUCAUCAACGCUCAUUCAUCGUUACUUUAUACAACUUGUUUAUUAUCAACCGAUAAGCUUUUAAAUUUUUCAACGAUAUAAUUUUUGCUGAUGGAAAAUUCAACCGAGUUAUUUAAAUACAAAUAGAAAGUUAAUAAUUAUCACGACAGAGGAGUUGUCGCUGAAUACUGGAUGUGAGGAUACAUAUAUCGUUGGCAUGGCUACACCACGGAAAACAUAAUAAUAUAAAGAUUAUUAGCAACAGCUGCGACAACAGUAAAUUAAUCAAACAAAAAAAUCUCAAGCUAAUCUCUUGGUUGAUGUGUCACGUCACUUGCUAUUAAUUAUUUUAUUAUUAAAAAAUCUAUCUAAUAAUAAUAAUAAAUCGAAUGAUA